Molecule: long non-coding RNA, 684 nt
Organism: Bos taurus (domestic cattle)
Lineage: Eukaryota; Metazoa; Chordata; Mammalia; Artiodactyla; Bovidae
Source: Ensembl
GGUUUACAGCAUUAUAUGGAGAAGAGAAGAGUGAGGAGGGAGUUAGAGGUGACCCAAAUGAGAUGAAGUGGAGUCAAUAGAGGAGAGAGUGGGCUAUUCAGUAAUCUCUGCCUUAUGUGCACUCCACAACUGGACCGCUCAGAGUUGUUGACAGAGUUAUACAGAGAAGAGAAGAAGAAAGAAGGUGGCAUAGGUGGCCAGGAGGAUAAAUGGGGGGAAUGAAAAGGAGGGAGACAGAUCCAGCCAAUAAUCAGUUCCCUAAGUGUUCUCCACCGUUUGGAACACACAGAAAUUCACAGAGUUGGGUAGAGUAGAGAGGGGUUAGGGAGGAGACACAGGCGACCUAGUGGAGAAAAAGGAGAGUCCAAAGGGAGAGAGAGCAGUUAAGCCAGUAAUCUCGCUCCCUAGUGAAAAAUGGGUACUGAAGAUUGGGUUCUUAAAGGUACAAAAUUGGUAACAAAUACAUAAAAGCAAAAAUUAAAAAUCUAGAGUAGAGUUUGGAAUUUCAAAAAUACGAUGUUAAAGAAAAGAAGAUGGAAAAGAAAGAGAGAAAAAAUGAACAAAAACAAACAAGGUCGCAAAAAUUAUAAAGAAAAUAUAGGUACAAAAUUGAUAACUAAUACCAAAAAGCAAAAGUUAAAAAUCUACAGUAGAGUUUGGAAUUUCAAAAAUACAAUGUUAAAA